CCUACGGGCGGCAGCAGUGAGGAAUAUUGGUCAAUGGGCGCGAGCCUGAACCAGCCAAGUAGCGUGAAGGAUGACUGCCCUACGGGUUGUAAACUUCUUUUAUAAAGGAAUAAAGUGAGGCACGUGUGCCUUUUUGUAUGUACUUUAUGAAUAAGGAUCGGCUAACUCCGUGCCAGCAGCCGCGGUAAUACGGAGGAUCCGAGCGUUAUUCGGAUUUAUUGGGCUUAAAGGGAGCGUAGAUGGGAUGUUAAGUCAGUUGUGAAAGUUUGCGGCUCAACCGUAAAAUUGCAAUUGAUACUGGCAGCCUUGAGUGCAGUAGAGGUAAGCGGAAUUCGUGGUGUAGCGGUGAAAUGCUUAGAUAUCACGAAGAACACCGAUGGCGAAGGCAGCUUACUAAACUGCCACUGACAUUGAUGCGCGAAAGUGUGGGUAUCAAACAGGAUUAGAUACCCUAGUAGUC
Molecule: ribosomal RNA, 460 nt
Filed under: uncultured bacterium
Lineage: Bacteria
Description: partial 16S ribosomal RNA
Rfam family: Bacterial small subunit ribosomal RNA
Source: RNAcentral